GUCGAGCGGUAAGGCCCUUCGGGGUACACGAGCGGCGAACGGGUGAGUAACACGUGAGCAACCUGCCCCUGACUCUGGGAUAAGCGGUGGAAACGCCGUCUAAUACCGGAUACGACCUUCCACCUCAUGGUGGAGGGUGGAAAGUUUUUUCGGUCAGGGAUGGGCUCGCGGCCUAUCAGCUUGUUGGUGGGGUAACGGCCUACCAAGGCGAUUACGGGUAGCCGGCCUGAGAGGGCGACCGGCCACACUGGGACUGAGACACGGCCCAGACUCCUGCGGGAGGCAGCAGUGGGGAAUAUUGCGCAAUGGGCGAAAGCCUGACGCAGCGACGCCGCGUGGGGGAUGACGGCCUUCGGGUUGUAAACCUCUUUUACCACCAACGCAGGCUCCGGGUUCUCUCGGGGUUGACGGUAGGUGGGGAAUAAGGACCGGCUAACUACGUGCCAGCAGCCGCGGUAAUACGUAGGGUCCGAGCGUUGUCCGGAAUUAUUGGGCGUAAAGAGCUCGUAGGCGGCGUGUCGCGUCUGCUGUGAAAGACCGGGGCUUAACUCCGGUUCUGCAGUGGAUACGGGCAUGCUAGAGGUAGGUAGGGGAGACUGGAAUUCCUGGUGUAGCGGUGAAAUGCGCAGAUAUCAGGAGGAACACCGGUGGCGAAGGCGGGUCUCUGGGCCUUACCUGACGCUGAGGAGCGAAAGCAUGGGGAGCGAACAGGAUUAGAUACCCUGGUAGUCCAUGCCGUAAACGUUGGGCGCUAGGUGUGGGGACUUUCCACGGUUUCCGCGCCGUA
Molecule: ribosomal RNA, 787 nt
Filed under: Prauseria sp. 2148-2
Lineage: Bacteria; Bacillati; Actinomycetota; Actinomycetes; Pseudonocardiales; Pseudonocardiaceae
Description: bacterial SSU rRNA
Rfam family: Bacterial small subunit ribosomal RNA
Source: RNAcentral